This 993-nucleotide long non-coding RNA is filed under the name Monodelphis domestica (gray short-tailed opossum). RNAcentral's name for it is "lncRNA (ENSMODG00000051148.1)". Lineage: Eukaryota; Metazoa; Chordata; Mammalia; Didelphimorphia; Didelphidae. The record is from RNAcentral.
AUACCAGUUAGCUGCCUAUUGUAAGGAUUUGCUUUUAGCAAAAGCAAGAAGCAAGAGAUCCUGCAUACCAACAUUCCACACAGAACUCUCAGAAGCUAGGGAACUGAAACUCAGAGACAGUUGCUGGACAGAGUUGGUGGACUCCUUUGGAAGAGGGAGAGGCUGCUUUUCUCUAGUAGUCAGUAAAGCCCAGAGGGUUUCUGUCUGGUAUCUCUGGGGUGGACCCAGAGAGCCAGUGGUUCCCUCUUCUUUGGCUUUCUUGAUAUUCUGCCUGUUCUUGCUGCUGCUGCUACAGAGAAGUGGAUUUCAACAAUUUCUUCCUCUGGAUGUGGAUAGUGUUUGUUCUCAUCCCUCAGAAUUGUCCAGGGUCAUUGCAUUGCUGCUAGAAGAGAAGUCUAUUACAUUUGAUUGUGCCACAGUAAAGGCAUUUAUUAAGAUGGCAUAAUAAGAACAGUACCUCCAAAGCUUCCCUUUUCCCAUCUUCCUCCUUCCUGGUCUGAGGUAUGCUCUCCCACAAAUAUACAAAAUAUCCUUGGGUAAAAUGGGCACAAACUACAAUGACAGUGAGGUAGAGAAUAUAAGUGGCCAAUAUGACCCAUUACUGCUGAGCCCAGAUGUUCUUUCCUUCCUACAACUACCCGGCUCUGGGACCACUUCCUCUUUGGAGCUUUCUCUUCUCCCAAAGAGACAUGCUGCUCUGCCCUAUCUUAAAUCUUCUUGGCUAUGCUGAUGCACCUAGCCUAUGUGUCCUGGAUAGACAGCAUGACUUAGUGGAAAGAAUCCGGGCUUCUAAACCAGGAAGACCUUGGCUCCAGUCCCAGUUCUGACAAAGACUGGCUAUGUGACCUGAGGCAAGUCACUUAAUCUUUUAGUACUCCUGAUAACUCUUUUAAGAUUCUAAAUUACAGUGGCCCAUCAUGGUCAGUUCAUCAACAUGGAAUUUCUGCUAGUGUUUUUAAUAAAUUCCUUUUCAUAAAAAAAAAAAGACUAAAC